CCAAAAUCCAUUGCUGAUGACCGGCAGCCAUCCAGCUCCACUGGCUGCACCACGACUGGAGCCUGCUGCCAGGACAUCUCAUGGAUGGCACUUCGCACUUAGUUUCUGAGGUCAAGGACAUGACAGCACAGGGAGUAUGAAUGUUGAAAGCCUGAUGUAAGGUGGGUGGAGUGUGUUUUAUAGGUGAAAUGAUGCAGCUGGGACAGAUGAAGGAGGAACAGAUGUGACAGCUGGGUGGAGAAGUAAGACAGAUCUCCCUCAGGUUUGGGGAGGUCUUGGAAAGUUAUGUGCAUAGGAAAGGGCAAGAUGAGGAGGAGCUGGAACAGCAGCAGCCCCUCUUGCAGCUGCUAUGUCUCAAACCACCACAAGUGUCAGCAGUGGAUUAUCAAGACACCUGGAGGAGCAGUAAGCUGCUUUGUACUACCGUGCCUGCACAUCUUACCAACAGCGUGGCAUUUUCUACCUUUUCUGUGGCUCCAUCUAACAAGGUGUGCUUAGUUCCUCUAGACAUGAAGACUAAUGAAGAAUUUUAGUCUGUUCGAAUACAACACAGAAUGAUCAACUUCAAGUAGGUAAUCAAAUGGAAUUUUAGAAUAUACUUAAUCAUGUCAUUACAUAUCUUUCUGAAAAGACAAUUAUUGUUUCAUCAAAAAUUACAUAUACAACUAAGACAAUUUUUCAUUCUUUUUAUUUUAUCUGGAAAUCUGAAAAUGUGUCCUAAGAAUGUGUGAAUUAAGCUAAUAAUUAUUCCUCUGAUAUGAAUAACUGUUAGCUCUGAAUUAAUAAUUCUUAGCAGAGACUACGUUACUUUCACCAUCUCUUCCAGUAGUGACUGAAACUGCAUUUUCUCAAAUUAGUUAUUUGAAGCUAUUCUACCUUUGAUUUAAAGUGGGUUAACCUUUAUCACAUCACUCAAUAGUCUAGAUUCUAACUAAAUACAGCUAAUUCCUAAAUUAAAUGAUUUGCUGGUGUCAUGUGGUAUUUCUGUACCUCAGUGAAACGAAGGUCUGUCACUAGCAAUUGUCAGCUGUGAAUGUUCAUCCUCUUUCAAAGGCUUUUUUUUGCUCACCUCUCCUUCCCCUCUAUUCACCAUUUGUAUGUCACCAUUUGUACAUAUUUACCUAUUAACUUUCAGCUGACAAAUCUGCUUCAGAAAAUGUCUUUAUCCUUCUUCAUCUUCUUUCAGUCUGGCAUUUCAUGUUUUUUUCUUCUUUUUUUUUCAGACAUUGCAUCCUGAAUGGCUCAACGUCAACUCAAGUGUAGUCUAACCAAAACCAAUCCUUUUCAUCUUACCUCCAAAACCCUUUCCACUUCCAUUUUCUAUGGUUGCCAAGAAUACCAUUCUACUUGUUAUCCAAAUGCAUAAUCUUUGAUUCUUCCUUUGCCUUCUUUCCUCCAACUCUAACUGAACAACCACACAGAAAUUUUGUCCAUCUUUGCACAGGAUCCAAAUAGCUUUUCUUGAAAUUCAGAAGUUUGCACAGCUCUGUCCUGCUUAGAUUUUGAAGGCACCUCCUUUAAUCUUGUGCUUGGUUUAACAGCUCUCUUUUAUGUAAAAUCUCUCAUAAAGCGAUCCUUUUGUGUCACAUUGAAGAAGUGAGUUUACUGCAACAGCCAUUGUAAUAAUGUUUACCAAUAAAAGCAGAAUCAAUAUAGAGAAAUUUCA
This is a long non-coding RNA of Numida meleagris (helmeted guineafowl), 1666 nucleotides long. NCBI's taxonomy places the organism in Eukaryota, Metazoa, Chordata, Aves, Galliformes, Numididae. The record is from Ensembl.